This 448-nucleotide ribosomal RNA is filed under the name uncultured bacterium. Its description in RNAcentral is "bacterial SSU rRNA". It matches the Rfam family "Bacterial small subunit ribosomal RNA", at positions 330 to 792 of the family's 1533-position model. The record is from RNAcentral.
GCCAGACUCCUACGGGAGGCAGCAGUGGGGAAUAUUGGGCAAUGGGCGCAAGCCUGACCCAGCAACGCCGCGUGAAGGAAGAAGGCUUUCGGGUUGUAAGCUUCUUUUGUCAGGGACGAAGCAAGUGACGGUACCUGACGAAUAAGCCACGGCUAACUACGUGCCAGCAGCCGCGGUAAUACGUAGGUGGCAAGCGUUAUCCGGAUUUAUUGGGUGUAAAGGGCGUGUAGGCGGGAAUGCAAGUCAGAUGUGAAAACUAUGGGCUCAACCCAUAGCCUGCAUUUGAAACUGUAUUUCUUGAGUGCUGGAGAGGCAAUCGGAAUUCCGUGUGUAGCGGUGAAAUGCGUAGAUAUACGGAGGAACACCAGUGGCGAAGGCGGUCAACUGGACAGCAACUGACGCUGAGGCGCGAAAGCGUGGGGAGCAAACAGGAUUAGAUACCCCCGUA